RNAcentral lists this ribosomal RNA (796 nucleotides) under uncultured archaeon. RNAcentral's name for it is "bacterial SSU rRNA". It matches the Rfam family "Archaeal small subunit ribosomal RNA", at positions 85 to 879 of the family's 1478-position model. The record is from RNAcentral.
ACGGCUCAGUAACACGUGGAUAACCUGCCCUUGGGUCCGGCAUAACCCCGGGAAACUGGGGAUAAUUCCGGAUAACGCAUAUGUGCUGGAAUGCUUUAUGCGUCAAAUGGAUUCGUCUGCCCAAGGAUGGGUCUGCGGCCUAUCAGGUAGUAGUGGGUGUAAUGUACCUACUAGCCGACAACGGGUACGGGUUGUGAGAGCAAGAGCCCGGAGAUGGAUUCUGAGACAUGAAUCCAGGCCCUACGGGGCGCAGCAGGCGCGAAAACUUUACAAUGCGGGAAACCGUGAUAAGGGGACACCGAGUGUCAGCAUCAUAUGCUGGCUGUCCAGGUGUGUAAAAUACACCUGUUAGCAAGGGCCGGGCAAGACCGGUGCCAGCCGCCGCGGUAACACCGGCGGCCCGAGUGGUGAUCGUGAUUAUUGGGUCUAAAGGGUCCGUAGCCGGUUUGGUCAGUCCUCCGGGAAAUCUGAUAGCUCAACUAUUAGGCUAUCGGGGGAUACUACCAGACUUGGAACCGGGAGAGGUAAGAGGUACUACAGGGGUAGGAGUGAAAUCUUGUAAUCCCUGUGGGACCACCUGUGGCGAAGGCGUCUUACCAGAACGGGUUCGACGGUGAGGGACGAAAGCUGGGGGCACGAACCGGAUUAGAUACCCGGGUAGUCCCAGCCGUAAACGAUGCUCGCUAGGUGUCAGGCAUGGCGCGACCGUGUCUGGUGCCGCAGGGAAGCCGUGAAGCGAGCCACCCGGGAAGUACGGCCGCAAGGCUGAAACUUAAAGGAAUUGGCGGGGGAGCAC